RNAcentral lists this unclassified non-coding RNA (329 nucleotides) under soil metagenome. Its description in RNAcentral is "partial contains 5.8S ribosomal RNA, internal transcribed spacer 2, and large subunit ribosomal RNA". The stretch from base 1 to 120 matches the Rfam family "5.8S ribosomal RNA", at positions 35 to 154 of the family's 154-position model. The record is from RNAcentral.
GAUGAAGAACGUAGCGAAAUGAGAUAAGUAAUGUGAAUUGCAGAAUUCAGUGAAUCAUCGAAUCUUUGAACGCACAUUGCGCCCCUUGGUAUUCCGAGGGGCAUGCCUGCUCGAGCGUCAUUAUAACCCCUCAAGCUCAGCUUGGUGUUGGGGCCUGCUGCACUGGCAGCCCUUAAAAUCAGUGGCGGCGCCAUCUGGCUCUAAGCGUAGUAAUUCUUCUCGCUAUGGAGUCCUGGUGGAUGCUUGCCAUCAACCCCCAAUUUUUCUAUGGUUGACCUCGGAUCAGGGAGGGAUACCCGCUGAACUUAAGCAUAUCAAUAAGCGGAGGA